GACGAACGCUGGCGGCGUGCUUAACACAUGCAAGUCGAGCGGAAAGGCCCUUUCGGGGGUACUCGAGCGGCGAACGGGUGAGUAACACGUGAGUAAUCUGCCCUUGGCUUUGGGAUAACCACCGGAAACGGUGGCUAAUACCGGAUAUGACGGGCUCCGGCAUCGGGGUUCGUGGAAAGUUUUUUCGGCCAGGGAUGUGCUCGCGGCCUAUCAGCUUGUUGGUGGGGUAAUGGCCUACCAAGGCUUCGACGGGUAGCCGGCCUGAGAGGGUGACCGGCCACACUGGGACUGAGACACGGCCCAGACUCCUACGGGAGGCAGCAGUGGGGAAUAUUGGACAAUGGGCGGAAGCCUGAUCCAGCAACGCCGCGUUGAGGGAUGACGGCCUUCGGGUUGUAAACC
Molecule: ribosomal RNA, 402 nt
Filed under: uncultured bacterium
Lineage: Bacteria
Description: bacterial SSU rRNA
Rfam family: Bacterial small subunit ribosomal RNA
Source: RNAcentral